AAAAAGACAAAUCCUGUUUUUCGUGCCCAACGUUUGAUCGUCCGUCUUAUUUGAAAAAAUUAUGAAAAAAAAUUAAAAAGAUAAGUCACGUAUAAAAUAUUAAUCAUGUUUUAUCAUCUAACAACAAUGAAAAUACGAAUUAUAAAAAAAUUUCAUAUAAGACGGACAGUUAAAGUUGGACACGGAAACCUAAGGUUUGCGUUUUUU
Molecule: non-coding RNA, 207 nt
Organism: Oryza barthii
Lineage: Eukaryota; Viridiplantae; Streptophyta; Magnoliopsida; Poales; Poaceae
Source: Rfam